This is an RNA transcript of Peromyscus californicus insignis, 10367 nucleotides long. It is a transcript of the gene named metallophosphoesterase domain containing 1, with no coding region annotated. The transcript is spliced from 2 exons. Lineage: Eukaryota; Metazoa; Chordata; Mammalia; Rodentia; Cricetidae. The record is from RefSeq and is a predicted model, not a curated record.
GCCCAGCCCCCAUCGUCACCACCGGUUACAGGGUUACACUGAGAGCGGGUGGUGGGGACCCAAAGCUGAGGCUCAGGGCCAGUACAAAGCAGACAGAGGACCUGGGAUUUGAUUUUGUCCUUCCCACUCUCUGUCUGACUUCAGGCAGGUCACUGUUACCCCUGGGCCUCAGUUUCCCCAUUUGGAAUCAAGGAAUGGUAGCAUCACUUACAUCCUCUGUGCUAUACACGGUUUUACAUGCAGGCAGGUGCUAUUGUCUCCAGCUGUCUCUGAGGUUCAGAGACAGGCAGGGGAGGGAUCUGGCUUUCAAACAUCAAACAUGAGCCUCGAGCACUAGGGAGCAUCCCUUUCUGCCUGUCUUCUGUCCUCCCACAGAACGGAGUGUGGUUGUGGGAUCCAUCUCACUGAAGAAAGGCCUUUUGGAUCUUCAGGUGGAUUCACUAUGCACUUUCCUGUGUGGGGAGGGCAGCCGUUUGAAAACAAAUGCAUAGUGAAUCCUCACUCUGAUGGAGACACAGUAACCGACUGGGCCUUCUCUCAGAACUCACCUGGUUGGGUGGUGCUCAAAGUGACCAUAGGUCCAGACUGUCUUUGUGAUGUCUGUGUGUGUCCGUGACAAUGGUAUGGACUGUAAUGGUGUUGCUGCUGAUAACCAUGGUGGUCGUGAGGGUGAUAAUUUAUAGUGCUGAUGGUGAUGAUUGAUGGUUGUGAUGGUUGUGAUGGAUGAUGGUGAUGAUGAUGGUUGUGGUGGAUGAUGGUGAUGGUGGUGAUGGUGAUGAUGGUUGUGAUGGUGAUGAUGGUGAUGAUGGUGGUGAUAGAUGAUGGCAGUAGUAAUAAUAAUGAUGUUGGUUAUGAGGAUGUCGUGAUGGCAGCAAUGAGGAUGACAGUGGUGAUCAUCGUGAUGAUGUUGGUGGUGCCGAGGAUGGUGGUAAUGAUGAUGAUCAGGUGGUGAAUAAGAUGGUGGUGAUGCUGCUGCUGGCUGUGGCAUCAUGUCAUUGGUCCGUGGACCAAAGCCUUCACAAUGCUUUCAUGGGUCUGAUGUGUUAUCCACUUUCUACAAGUGGAUAAAUCUAUUGACCCUUGAGUGGCCAUAGGGUGUGAAGUGCUGGCCGGGUAAGGGGAAGCUCGCCAGAGGAGGUGGAUGACCCCAGCCUCAGGGGGAGACAAGGACUCGCAUAGACAGGGAGGCAGAGGCACUGACUGGGGACACAGGUGCCUGCAGGGUGAAGAGCCAUGCAAACAGCACAUCUGGGAAACCCAGGGCUGUCGUGUUUAAUGCCCCCUGGUGAUUUGAGGCUGAGGUGGGUUAAGGACUUUGUCUGGAUCUUAGAAAGCCCAGGAGAGAGGGGAGGUGCCAGCCUGACCCAUUCUCCAGGAGGAGCCUGCUGUCUCUGCCCGGGGCUUGUGGUGCUCAAGGGUUUGAUGUACUCUCCUGGUUCUUUGGCACUCAAGGAUGCGAGGGACUCAAAACCAAGGGCACGGAGGUGAGAAGGUGACUGAGGCUGCCUGGCAGGCCACGGGGGCCAGUCUGGAGAAGCUUGCUCAUGCAACAGCUCAUCUGGGAGGCGUGAGCAAAGGCUUGGGUCCUGAGGCUGGUACAGUCUGGGCAGGGCAAAGGUGGGGUGGGGCCAGCAGGGUGAGAGGUGGAGGCUCUGUGUAUGAGGUCAAGAAUUAGGACCAGCUCUUUGCUCUGUGGUUCACAACCUCUCACAGACACACACACACACACACACACACACACACACACACACACACACAUCCCACCUUAAGAAAAGGUAUUGUAAAGAUUAGAGGCAUUGCCGGGCGGUGGUGGCGCACGCCUUUAAUCCCAGCACUCGGGAGGCAGAGCCAGGCGGAUCUCUGUGAGUUCGAGGCCAGCCUGGGCUACCAAGUGAGUUCCAGGAAAGGCGCAAAGCUACACAGAGAAACCCUGUCUCGAAAAAACAAAACAAAACAAAACAAACAAAAAAAAAACAACAAAAGAUUAGAGGCAUGGCUUGGGGACCAAAAAAGCUGAGUUUAAUUUUAGCCUCACAUUUUGUGUGAUCACUGGGUGACUUCUCUAUGCCUUACUUCACUUUCUUACAGAAUGGAGGUGGCAGUGUGCCCUCCCCUCCUCCAGUGGGUAGUUGUAAGGCGUCAGAGGGCUCCCCUGAGUUGCCAUAGUGCUCAGAGACUGGAGACCUGUUUUGUUUGUUUGUCUUAGGGAUGCCCUUCCUACAUGGUCUAGCAAUGAGGGUGAGGGGGAUGGGGAUAUGGACAGGGCUCUCGGGUCCCCCCACUCAGCAGCCAGGCUCAUCAGAGCCCCCUUAAUAAUCAGCUGGGUGACUCAGUACUAGGGCUUCCUAGGUGUGUGGUCCUCACCUGUAAAGGGAGGUCACACCCCAUCACUGAACUGGCCAUGAGGAUGAUGCUUGGGUGAGGCCAGCUGCCAAUUCAGCUAUUGUCAGCUGCUUUGAGCUCCAGCCACCAGUGGCCCCCACUGUGGCUUUCAAUGUGGACAUUACUGGCCUCUCUCGUUCCUGGUUUCCCCCAGGCCCGGAGAUCAAGGGACCCUUUCUUCUUGACCCCAGACCUGUGUCAGCGGGAGCACAGGCUGGCCAGCAGAGCAAAUGAAUAGGGUAUGUGGGGGGCAGUAAGCUGUGCAGUUGUGCUCAUGAAAGAGCAUGGUGGAACCCAGGAUACUUCCUGUUGGAAUGGGCUUUAGUACUGGGACUAAAGGAGGUGUGGCUAGGGAAGGGGAGCACUUCGAUUUCUCAGCCUGGCUGUGCUUGGCCUGGUGACAUGAACAGUCCCAAGGCCGUUCUGUGUUCAGAGUUCUGCUCGUUUCUUUGAGGUCAUGCCACCUGGGGCUGGGAGCAGGUGACAGGAGGUGACACACAGCCUGAUAAACUGGCCAUAUUUCACCAUGCCAUCCACUGCUGGGAGCCGAUUGCGCAGAUCUGCUUCUGUGGUGUCGCAGAAUUAGUCCUGAGAGCGGUCCCCUCCCCUCUGACAUCCGCAUGCUGGGGAAGCUGCGUCUCUGGCAGUGUGCCUCAAACACAGGCUGUGAAAAUCAAGGCACCACCACUCCAGGCAGCCUCUCUGGUCCCACUGUGCCAUGGGAAGAUGAUGCUAUUGCAUUAUAUCGGGGCUUGAGGUCUGUCCGGAUGAAGGAACAAGGGAGGUACCAUCAGUGGUCUCAUACGUGGUUCUUGUAACUCAUGAUCAAGGGGGCAUCCUCAGAAGGGCGUUAACUCCAUGUCAGCUGAGGGUUAAGCUGGCAACUACCCCCACUUUAUAGAUGGGCAAGAAGAGGUUCAGGUAAGCACAUGGUUCAUCCAGGGUUACCAAGGCAGAGGCACCCCAGGCUCCUGGUGAACUCUGCCCUUUCUGAAGUGGAGAUCAUGCAGUGUUUUCCUACGCACUACUUGGGUGCCCCAGGGGCCGUGGAGGCCUGAGAGUCAUUCUCCUGGUUCAACAGUAAAGGCAUCGAGUCAGCCAUGAGUAUUUAUUGAGAGCUCGGCACCCAUUGAGCCUCCGUGGAUGUGGUGAGAACUCAACCAUUGUGGUUGCUGCUGUCCUGGGUUCCUACCCUGGUGGCCAAUGGCAGUCAGCAGCUGUCCUGUGACUCAGGAAGAAGUCCUGGGAGUUGGGGUCUGGGGAAAGCACCCAUGGAGAGAACUGGGAACUGAAGAGAUCACAGAGCUAAGGAAGUAGGGAAGGGAGUAGUUUGUUGCAGGCAAAGACCACGAGGCUGGAGAGGGUGCCAGGCUUGUGGGCACUGUAGCGUUACUUCCAGGCCCUGGGUGGGUCACAGUAAGAGACAGAAACCACAGACUGAGCAGAGCCUCUGCCCUCGGGUCCUUGGCUGGCAGCUCUGCCCUGCCUUCCUCCAAGCUAUUGGGAACCAGGCUUUCCAGAGUCACCUCCCUCAGUGUCCCUCCAGGGAGGGAGUACUUGAGGACCACCACAGUGUUGAGAUGGACGGUUGGGGCCUGCUGCCUCCCUGGGGCUCUUUACCAGGAGAGCUGUGUGGACCCUGUCCCACUCUGUGCCUGUGCGCAUGUGGGUGCACAGAGGGAUGCUCACCCUGGAAGCUGUGUCACUGCUGGUGUGUAUGCACCUGUGGGUUACAGGUGACUCCCUCCUCUAUCCUCUGUCUCAGGAGGCCCUGGGGGGCAGCCAUCAUGCCCCCGCUAGUGAGGCCUCUGUGCAUCUCGCCAGUGUUCCUGGCCUGGUGAGCUAGCUCUGUCACCUAGGAGUCAGGUCCCAUCCCUGCCACUGAGCUGCAGAAGCAUUGGCCAAGCUGUGGAGCCAUCCUGAGGCCUAUGUAUGGCUAGGAAAUGUGAUGAUGUCACAGGUCACAGGAUAGGGAUGUUCAUUACCUUCCAGGUCCCUUGGUGGAGAAGGAACCCACGUUGGCUGGUGUCUCAGGGAUGCUAGAAGCCACACACAUAGAAGUGGUAUAAACCAGCCCUUAAACAUGUGUUCAUAGCUUAAGAACCUCCUGGCCUGGCUAUGGACUCCACCCAGACCCGGGUGAGGUAUGUGGGAUGGAAUCUCCUCAGCUAUAUCUUGAGGUUUCAAGUGGACACACUCAAUUUCUGGGCACUGGUCAGCUACCCCCGGGGCAGCUUAUGGUGGGACAGACUGACUGAUGGUUAUUGACAUGCUCCAAACCAGCCUAAUCUACAGUCAGUCCCUCAUUGUGACUCUCUUCCCAGAUGACUUUAUCAAGUUCUUGACUAAAACUAAACAGUACGUGAGUGGCAGGGUUAUUGCUUCUCUCUCCCUGGACACAUUGGCUGGUGUGUGGCAUUCAGGUAUCCUUCAAAGCUUCAGAGGCAUGGCUGGCUGUGCCAAGAGGGGGUUGGAGUGGACCACACAGCAUUGGGGGGGGGGCAGUGAUAAGCAUGUCAUCACCAGGGUGAGCGCAAUAUGAGAGCCCCUGCGGCUUUGACAAGGGGUGAUCUGCUUGCACGAGGGGUCUGCGAACAAGCAGAGAUUGCGUGGAGCCCCCGCGCCCUCCCGCUUUUAUGUGAGUGCUGGGGAUCCAAACUCUAGUCCUCAUGUUUUCACUAGCCCUUCAUCCGAGUCACUUCCUCAGCCCUGCGUUCUCUUCAGCAAAGUCAGUUUGCCAAGUGAUGUCCUCUGCCAGCAGCCGCUUGCUUACCUGUACCCCUGCCAACACUUGGUACCAUAAGGCUUUAGGCUUUACUCACUCUUGGGUGGGUGCUGGUGCUACGGUGGGGCUUGGCACCAUUCCGUGGUUUCUGGCCACCUACAUUCCUCUUUUCUGAAGCGUUUAUGUCUUUUGCCUAGUCCAUUAUUUGGGGGCAGGGGUGGUCUGUCUUUUGGUUGGGGUGAUGUGGGGGAUGAAACCCAGAAUCUCAUGCACGCUAGGCAAGUUCCCUUAUCACCAGGCUGCCCUCCCCACCCCCUGGCUAGUCCUGUUUUUUCUCUUUCUUACCGCUCCCUGGAGAGUCGUGGUGUGUUCUGAGUGGGGGACGAGUCCCUGGUCCUUGACACCUUUCAGAUUGCCUUCCAUCUUCUUGACCUGCCUUCUCCUCACCCACAGAGCCAAUGAGAUGAACAGAAGCUUGGGUUUGGGUGUGAUCAAAUGUGAGCACUUUUCUUCCUGGCAAGUGCUUCCUGUGUCCUGCUGACAGGGUCUUCUCUCCAUGUUCCCCCUCUUGCUGUUCCCCUCUCCCCCUCUCCAGAACCUUACUGCUGGCUUUUCAGGCUUGGGCAGUGGAGCCACUGGCAAUGGUGGUGCUUGAUGUGAGGUGUGGGGGGGGAUCCCCACUUUGUGUUUUUCCUUGUGCACACCCCUUGGCAGACACCAUGAAGGGAAAAUUCGUGUCCUGCUCUGACACCUUGACUCUGCAAGGGCCUGGGUCUGCUCUUGCCCCUCACCCCACCAGCUCAUUCAGAACAGGAUGGGGGUGUUGUAUGUUAUCCUAACAACUGGUUUCUUCGAUAUCACCUCUGCUGGGACACUUGAGACCAGGGGCCGCUUCCACACAUAAUCUCUGUUUCUGACUUCAAAGCCCGAUACCGAACCUGGCUUAUGUUGAUAAAUGUUUCUCCAAUGGAUGAAUGCGUAGGUGGGAGGAGUCUUUGCAGUGGACUCCCACUGCAGCCCCAUCCUGGCCUGUCUGCCUGUGUGUGCAUCUUUCUGUGGUGGUCUCAUCCCAGGCCCACUGCAGCCCCAUCCUGUCUGCCUGUGUGUGCAUCUUUCUGUGGCCUCAUCCCAGGUCCACUGCAGCCCCAUCCUGGCCUGUCCGCCUGUAUGUGCAUCUUUCUGUGGUGGUCUCAUCCCAGGCCCACUGCAGCCCCAUCCUGUCUGCCUGUGUGUGCAUCUUUCUGUGGCCUCAUCCCAGGUCCACUGCAGCCCCAUCCUGGCCUGUCCGCCUGUGUGUGCAUCUUUCUGUGGCCUCAUCCCAGGUCCACUGCAGCCCCAUCCUGGCCUGUCUGCCUGUGUGUGCAUCUUUCUGUGGCCUCAUCCCAGGCCCACUGCAGCCCCAUCCUGGCCUGUCCGCCUGUGUGUGCAUCUUUCUGUGGUGGUCUCAUCCCAGGUCCACUGCAGCCCCAUCCUGGCCUGUCUGCCUGUGUGUGCAUCUUUCUGUGGUGGUCUCAUCCCAGGUCCACUGCAGCCCCAUCCUGGCCUGUCUGCCUGUGUGUGCAUGUUUCUGUGGUCUCAUCCCAGGUCCACUGCAGCCCCAUCCUGGCCUGUCCGCCUGUGUGUGCAUCUUUCUGUGGUGGUCUCAUCCCAGGUCCACUGCAGCCCCAUCCUGGCCUGUCUGCCUGUGUGUGCAUCUUUCUGUGGCCUCAUCCCAGGCCCACUGCAGCCCCAUCCUGGCCUGUCUGCCUGUGUGUGCAUCUUUCUGUGGUGGCCUCAUCCCAGGUCCACUGCAGCCCAAUCCUGGCCUGUCUGCCUGUGUGUGCAUCUUUCUGUGGCCUCCUCCCAGGCCUAUACCAACUCCUCAUUUGCUAGCCUCCUAGUCCACGCUGGACUCUGAACACCAUGGUGAGAAUGCCACCUCCUGUCUCACCACGCUGCCCACUCUUCCUAGCACCCCGACACCCAAGGCUGGAUGCCCACUUCCCUGUGCCCUUGACCUGGGCCUGUCCUCCUCCAACAUCUGGAAGGGAAAGAAGGAGCAAAAAUCUGGGAAAACCUGCCUCCCUCCAGGGCACGUAGUGACUCUGUGGGACUUUGGACACUGUUGCUGGCCCCCUCAGCUACAGCUGGGCAUAUGUCCACCACCUAGAGUGGCUCUGGGGCGGAGCUAACUCCAGGAAGAGGACAGAGUCAGUUUUUGCAAAAUCCUGCCUUUUUUUUUUUUUUAAAUCCUGCAUAUAUACUCUAUUCAUUUAUGGGUUUUGGAUGCAUUUUUUGUUCUCAUUUAACUAAAAACGGCCUUGAUUUAAAAAAGAGAGAGAGAGAGAAAGGAGUGAGGGAGAGAGUGAAAUUGGCACGCAGCAAGCCCAUCUGCUCUAAUUACUUCUGGUAUUUUGAAAGAAGGGAUCUAAACCUGCUGAGACACCGAACUUGGGGAAGCGGCUGCUGGGCCUGCGCCUGGGAGGCUGGGCUCAGAUACCGAUUCUGUGCUUGGCUGGGCUGCCUCCUGUCAGGGCUGGCCCCUGAGGCCCAAGGAGGGGACUUCUCUUGUCUCUAGGAACCAGGGCCUCAAGGGCCAGCUCUGCAAGGCUGGGCUGAGAACCCAGCCUGGUGUGUGGGUGCUAGCAGUGUGGCAGUGGCUGGAACCUUGGCUUUGUGAGAUGGUGUCACAAUGAGUCCCCUUGCCCUUAGCAUUCAAAGAGGCCAGAUAUAGACAUUGCCUGGCACACAGUUGGUGUCUCAUCAUGCUGCUGGCUGUGGCCACGCAGUAUUGGGGCUAGGGAUAAUGAGGGUUGCCUUUACAUAGCCAAUAGCCACAGAUAACCCUCCUUCAUUCAGGCAUGGGACAGCGAGUGCCUGGUGGCCUCUGGGAGCAGGCCCGGGGUGGGCACGCAUGCCAUCUUUUCUGUGCCAUUCUCCUACUUUGUACAGUUAAGUAGGCCUGCUGCACAGCCUGGGGCAGGAAUGGAGCAGCCUGGGAACUUUGUCUGUGAUGGCACUCAGGGAAGCCUGCUGAUGUGACAGCUGUGUGUGUCUGUCUUAUCACAACCCCCAAGACAAUUAGUGAGGUUCCCUCCUUUUCCCUCAUUUGACAGAAGGUGCUGAGACUCAGGAAGCAGGUUGACUUGCUACGAAGGAAGGCCCCACAAGGAUCAAGGGGAGCCGGGCCAGGGAGGGAACCGUGUGCCCUCAGGACAGCCACAGCGAGGUGCUCGAUGAAUGUCAUUCACCGGGGAAGAGCACAGUCCUGUUUGGUGCAUAGCACAGUUUAGGGUAUUGCCUGGUUUUGUGAUGUUCUCAGAGGGACUUGCCUGUCUCAGUCUGUGAGUGUGCCCAGCAGGAGCUACCUUAUGCUGGUGUCUUGGCUUAGGGCUGGGGACCCAUUGCUGGAGGUCUGGGCUCUGGAGUCCUUGGUAGAGGAUCCUGCACUGUAUCAGGGUGAGGGCUUUGUGGUCCGCUCUUUUACUGAAGCCCCCAGGGUCCAGCUUGAAGAACGUAUGUCAUACACCUGUUCCCUCCCCUCCCUGACUUGGUAGCUUCUUGCUGUCUUACUGACUUCAAGGACUAUUCCCACGAAGCCCCCACACAGCAUUUGUCUUAGACUGUCUUGCAUCUUUGGGUGCUGUUAGCCUGAGGUUAUGGCCUUCACAACACCCAGGCUGGUACUUGGUGGCUUUCCCCAAACUGCUCCGUUUGAUCUUUGUCCCGACGGGACAGACAGGACUAUGCCAUUUUGUGUCAUGGCUGAGCUGGGGGAUGUGCAGAGAUGCUGAGGGACUGACUGGCCUGUGCUCUCAGCGCUGGGAGGAGGCAGGUAUGUGGGUUGCUCUGCUCAGGCAGGGUGAUAGCCUCAGCUGGUGCUGAUGUGGGUAGCCUCCCCCUGACGCUGGCCUGCCCUCUGGUGGUCCCUGUGGACAGCAGAAUGGGCGGGGCUUCAGCUCUUGCCUCCCCGACCCUCCUAUGGCUCAUCUAGUUCUGCAUAUGAGAGAAGAGGCAGCUGCUGAGCACCGAGCCACGGGGUGGUCAUUGAGGCCACCUCAGUAACGUCUUUCCUUGUCUUCAACCCACACGCGCGCGCGGUCGGUCAGGAGCCACAUGUCUCUGUUCAGGGAGCUGUCUACAUGACUGGGUAAGCUCAGAUUCUUCCCAGGAAAACAAGGGCAACCUGUGAUAGCCACAUGGGAGCCAGCAGCACAUGACAUGGCUCAGGCCCCCAGAGACCCUGCCUGUCACCCGUGAGUGGGUCCACUGUUGCUCACCCUUCUCUCUCUCCUUCCUGGUACUCAACAUUCCAGGCCUGGCUUACUGUGUCUAUGAUGGUAUCUGAGACAGGGAAAGAGAGUCCUUGGCUUCUGGACCCUACUGAGCUGAUUGUUCAUAUAUCUAUGCACAUGUACACAUUCAAUCCACACACAGGCCUACACAUAUGUAAUAUAGUCAAUAAACAAGCCUGCGUACACAUUCAUGAUAUACAUAAAUGCCUGCACGCACAAGUGCACACAAACACAUGCAUGUGUCCACAUGCACCGCUGGACAGUCUCACACACACAUUCAAAUUGAUAUGCUUGAUAGGAGUGCACUCUCAAGGACACACACACACACACACACACACACACACACACACACACACACAAGCACACUCAUGAUCUAGUUAUGUAUGUCCACACAUGCACAGGUGGACUAGGGAGGUACACUCUUAAGGACACACACACACACACACACACAAAUGCACAUGCACACACACUUCCUUUCCCUUUUCCUAUCCUUAUCUUCUGUCUCUUUUCCGGAGUUGCUUCUUCUCUGUUGCCUCUGUCCUCUCAAGCAGGCUGCUGUGCGCCCGCUCACUCUCCCACUCAAGAUUAACGUCUGAGACGAAUCAUCUGCCAUCUCUGCACAGAGUCCCAGCAAAACAAAAGAUGAGCGAUUCCGCAUAUCGGAAGGGUGGGGGAAAUUAAUUAGGAAUGACAAGGGACCCAGUCUGCAGCUCCACACUCUCCGCUGCUGACUUGCUGGCUACGGUUGUGGCCGCAUGAGUGACAGACUUCUGGACGCUGGGCGGCUGGGAGCUGAUGGGAACAUCGUACAGGUGAGUUGGCCCUUCAGAGGUGGGACCUGGGCAGGCCCUUCUACAGCUCCCCAACAGCUGGCCCAGCUUCUAGGCUGGGAGGUGGCCUAGGUAACUGUUCUGUUCUGAGCCAGCGUGGGAAGGUAAGACACCAGGGAGCCUCAAGAGGAAGGAAUGAGAAUUAGCGGCCGGGGG